RNAcentral lists this unclassified non-coding RNA (431 nucleotides) under uncultured Hemimycena. Its description in RNAcentral is "sequence contains ITS2". The stretch from base 1 to 154 matches the Rfam family "5.8S ribosomal RNA". The record is from RNAcentral. Lineage: Eukaryota; Fungi; Basidiomycota; Agaricomycetes; Agaricales; Tricholomataceae.
AACUUUCAGCAACGGAUCACUUGGCUCUCCCAUCGAUGAAGAACGCAGCGAAAUGCGAUAAGUAAUGUGAAUUGCAGAAUCCAGUGAAUCAUCGAAUCUUUGAACGCACCUUGCGCCCUUUGGUAUUCCGAAGGGCAUGCCUGUUUGAGUGUUAUUAAAUUCUCAACCUUUUGAACGCUUGCGCUCACUAGGCUUGGAUGUGAGGGUUUUGCUGGCUUCCUUCAGUGGCGGUCUGCUCCCUUUAAAUGCAUUAGUGGGAUCCUUUGUGGAUCGGUCACUUGGUGUGAUAAUAUAUCUACGCCGCUUGUACCGCGAAGCAAAACUUAUGGGAACCUGCUUAUAACCGUCUAGCAAUAGACAACUUUUGAACCUUUAACCUCAAAUCAGGUAGGACUACCCGCUGAACUUAAGCAUAUCAAUAAGCGGAGGCU